GACGAACGCUGGCGGCGUGCUUAAACAAGGACAGUGAACCGGGUUUAGUAAACCAAAACCUUGGGGGGAGGUUACUAAAGAGAGGGGCGAAAGGGGGAGUAACGCGUGAGCAACCUGCCUAUGACAGGGGGAUAGGCCCGGGGAACCGGGAUUAAUACCGCAUAAAAAUGGAGAAACACAAGGUUUAAAGGUCAAAGAUUUAUCGGUCAUAGAUGGGCUCGCGUCUGAUUAGCUAGUUGGUGAGAUAACAGCCCACCAAGGCGACGAUCAGUAGCCGGUCUGAGAGGAUGAACGGCCACAUUGGAACUGAGACACGGUCCAAACUCCUACGGGAGGCAGCAGUGGGGAAUAUUGCACAAUGGGGGAAACCCUGAUGCAGCGACGCCGCGUGAACGAAGAAGGUAUUCGUAUCGUAAAGUUCUGUCCUAUGGGAAGAUAAUGACAGUACCAUAGAAGAAAGCUCCGGCUAAAUACGUG
Molecule: ribosomal RNA, 477 nt
Filed under: uncultured bacterium
Lineage: Bacteria
Description: partial 16S ribosomal RNA
Rfam family: Bacterial small subunit ribosomal RNA
Source: RNAcentral